Biomphalaria glabrata is the source of this 5613-nucleotide long non-coding RNA. RefSeq lists it as uncharacterized. The record is from RefSeq and is a predicted model, not a curated record. The transcript has 4 exons. NCBI's taxonomy places the organism in Eukaryota, Metazoa, Mollusca, Gastropoda, Planorbidae.
UUUGAAAAAGUUUGAUAAACAAAUUUCAUAAUCAUAAGAUUAAAAAAAAACGCUUCAGGCCAUGUAAGGCCUAGUAUUCUGCAUAUAUUAAAAUACUAAAAAUACGCUCAUUAUUCUAAAGGUGCAUUUGAAAAAACAGUUGUUUCCUAAAUAUUUUGAUUAUAAUUUUUAAAUGGUUGUCAAGUGAGAUAACUCUAUUUUCUUCCGCCAUAUUUGCUAACUCAAGCCACAAAUUUCUCUUCAUCAUUUGAUUCACUGUUAUUCAGCUUUAAAACUGAUACUAAAACUUGAUUGGUUUAUGUCUAUGAAGUGACAAGUGUAAAAAAUUACGGACUUCUGAUGAGUCAUCAAAUUAAAUCAUGCCUAAAACGAAAAGGACUGCACCAGUUCAUUCACAAGCUCAGGACUGUUUCAGUUUCUCCAGGAAAAAUAAAUGAUAUACCAGAACCUGGAUCUAGCACUACAAAUAAAAUAUGUUUAUAUGGCCAUGCCCUUCAUAUUUUUAUUGCUAAAGACUCAUCAUAUACGACUGCGACAGAGAUAUAAUAUAUUCUUCCUAUGGACUUCAUUCAUCUGAAACCUUGUCAAAAUUAAAAAGUUUAUUUUCCAAAACAUUAACAAAGUCUAAAAAAACAUUUAGACAUCUUGAUGAUAUAACAAAAAAAUGCUCUAAAAUAUUUUAUCGACUAUCCUCUCAUACUGUCCCUAAUCCUGAUUCCAACAUUCAAACACAAAUUGUAGAAACCAUAAUUACACCAGUAAAUGCAUCGAUUCCCCCUGCUUCAAACAUAAGAGAGGAACUUACACCCAGAAAAAAAGCCUUAAAAAGGCGUUUUUCUUUGCUCUCAGAGUCUAGGAGUGAGGAAAGAAGCAGACACACAGAAAACAAUGAAGCAACUCAAAUUACAAGUUAAUUUUCAUCCUAAAUUAAUUAAAAACUUUAAGCAGUCAGCAGAGGAAAAACAAAACUAUUAUAAAACUUAAAAAGGAAUUUAAAAAACUUAAAACUGAAUCUGGCAAAGAAGAAAUAGCUAAAUUGAAAAAUAAAUUAAUAGAAACAAAAAAUAAAUACAAUCAUUUAAUAAUUAAAAUUAAAUCAAAUUAUAAAAAAGAAUUGUCUGAGAGGGACACAAUCCAUAAGGCCCUUCAGUGUGACAAACUGGUCCUUGAUGAUAAAGUUUUACAAAAAAAAGACAAAAAAACUUAUAAUGUAAUAGCCAGAUUGAUUAUUUAUGAUUGUAUUUCUAACAAUGUCCUCUCCAAAAGAAUCCCCUCUGUAAUUGAUAGUUUGUCACAGAAUGGGGAUCCUUAUUGAUUAUUUCCCUGACAAAAGUUCAAUUGAAAAUUUUGUAAGAGAACUUGUUGUUAUAUCAGACCUACAAGCCGCUGAAGUUGUCAUGGCUAUACCAGGUCUAACUCUUGGGUUUGAUGCCACAACCCAAGAGGGUGUACAUGUCAACUCAGUGCAUCUCACCACCAAGUCGUUUAUUUGUCUACAACUCAUUCUAUUGCUAACACCUCAACUUACCCAUAAUUAACGCCAUUGCCUGCCAUGUUCAAGCUGUGCUUCGCCUGGCCAAGACGACCCUUUGUGUUUCAUCCUAUUGUACUAACAGUAGACCAUCAUUGAAUUCAAGUAUUUAGCGUUUAUUGGCUACAACUCAUGCUAUGGUUAACACCUGAACUUACUAAGAAUCACCUGUAUUAAUGUAUAGUAUGUCACCAUCAACAGUAUUAUAUGAAUGUUGGACUAACACUCUAGAUCUUCAUUGCAUUCGACUGCUGCCUACAUGUGUCAUGGCUAAUACCUCAUCUUACCAUAAUGAAUCAACUGUAUCAUCUUCAACUACUGCCUACAACUCAUGUCAUAGCUAAUACCUAAUCUUACCAUACGGAAUCACCUGUAUCAUCUAUGUCAUCUUCAGUAUCAUACAUCAGAAACUUUAUAUCCAGAUGAAGCAAUUGAUUAAAACACCCUGAUCUUAUUGUUGAGGAUGUGUUACAACGGAUAACUGCCUGACUCACUGCCUGGUUGUAUGAUCUGUUCGAAACCUGUCCAGUUCCAUUCCUGCUGUCCUUCAAGAGUUUUAGGCUAGGACGAAAUAUUACUACUUCAUGACUACACACAGUGGUAUCUAACUGUGAGGUCUUUAUUACAACAGAUCGCUGCCUCGUCGUUUGGUUUUGAAAUGCCAUCAUGAUGAUCACCUUUUUUAAUCCUGCACAGUUCCAUCCCCUGCUGUCCUACAGGGUUUUGUACUAAGAUGUAAUAUUACUACUUAGAAUAUCAUGUCUCCCCCCAGAGACAAUCUACUGUUGAGGACUUAUUACAACGGAUCACUACCUUCAUUCUGUAUGGGCUUCAAAGUGUCGUCUUAAGGGUCACCUGUUCAACCCCUGCCCACGUCUAUCCCCAUCUUAACAUACGGUACUCUAGAAUUCAAACAUUUUUUGAAACAGUUGUUUGGCAUCCUUAUUUUGAACUUCUCUACGAUCUGCUUUGUGCUUGUGAUCUCAUAAAAGUUCUUGUUUUAAAGAAAAACAUUAUAUAAGUGCACAAUAAAGAAAUGGCUGUAAGACGUACUCAAAUAGUAAAUUUAGAUCAAAUCAUGACUGAGCAGCAGAAAAAAAUGAGAAGUGGACUUAAACAAGAUUGUCAGCAGCAAUCAAUACAAAAGAAAACUGCCUGGCCUGGUUAGCCAAACGUCGAUUGAUUAGAAAUACACACGACUGUAUCAUAUGUCAUCAGCCAGCAACAUUGGUCGCGUAUGCUCAAGGAAUCGACGGCUUCCGUUGGUCAUGCCGAGGAUGUGCUUUUCGCAAAUCAGUUCGAGAUAAUUCGUUCUUCAGUGGUAGUCACAUAGCACUUGAACAGUUGUUACAGUUGAUUAACUGUUGGUGUUAUGACAUGCCCCAGUUUAACAUUAUCCAUGAAACAAAUAUUUCGUGCAAAACUAUUAUAGACGUGCAAUUUUCGCAGAGAGGAAUGUGAAAACUAUAUAGAAAGACACGGACUUUUGGAAAUCGGUGGCAUCGACAAAAAAUGGAGAUCCAAUUGUUGUUGAGAUAGAGGUCAGUGGAGAGAAGGCCACUGGGUGUUUGGAGGUGUUGAAAGACUUUCCAAAAAAUGUUUUUUAGUCGAAGUGCCUGAUCGCACUGCAGCAACAUUAACACAAGCUAUAACACAACACAUUUUGCCUGGUACGCACAUAGUAUCUAAUGGAUGGGCUGUUUAUGCUAAUAUAGCAAACAUAAAUAAUGGGGUCUACAGUCAUUCUGUAGUAAUACAUCAAGACCACAAUGACAGCGAUACACACACUCCAAACAUCGAGACAACUUUGUAGACCCCAACAACAGCGAUACACACACUCCAUACAUGGAGACUAUGUGGAUGAGAGCUAAACGAAACUUAAAACACCAAUUCGGAACAAGCAACGGACUCUUCCAUUCAUAUUUCAAUGAAUUUAUGUUCAGAACUGCCUUAGGGCAUCAACAUAUUUUUUGUGAACUAUUGGUGGGAAUUACUGAAUCAUAUCCUAUGCAUCUAUGCAUAAUAGUUACUGGAUGUAAAAAUCGGCCCUGGCAAUUCUUGACAAUCCAGCCCAAAAAAUUGUAGGCCUAUAUCAUAUGACGAGAUUCCAAUUCUAGGUCUACCGGUACCUGUCUUCAAAAUUAUUAGGUUAAGUUUGAUAAUUUAUCAAUAACUGUGCGCGUGCAAAUAUUAGACUCCUUAUAAUAAAUAUAGGUCUUAUGUUGCUUUUUAAUCGCUCAAUGUGUAGGCCCUAAAAGGAUUAAGCCUACUAGAAGAACUAUCUACGGAUGUAGGCUAUUACAUUAUUUCGAAGAAAGGGUUAGAUUAAAUUAGUAUUACACUGUAGAGUCAGAUUUUUUAAACACAACUCUCAGAGAGUUCUUUUAUAAGAGCAUACCUAUGAUAAAACAUUUUAACAAUUGGUAGUUCCCGAUUUCUCCUCAGUCACGGAUUUCUUCUCAGUCAUGUGGGUGUGUUGUUUACAUUAACGACCUCAUUGAUUUCAUUGUAAUUUAAACAUGAAAAUAGUCUCGAUCUAUACAUUUUUAAGUAGGUACCGGUAAUAAAAAGUAUGUUACAAUAAUUCACUAAUUGUUAUGAUUAUUUAGUAGGACUACUAUAUCUAGGCUAGCACUAAAUCUAGAUCUACACCUUAUCAUAGGAAGAUAUUGCCAUGUAUAAGACUACAGUCACGUGACUUUUUAUAAAGUAGGUCAGAGAUUCGGAACUACCUCAUUUGAUACAUAGUUACAUAGCAUCCAUUUGCUACUUCUUGUGGCCCCACCGGCCCAUUUUGGUACCGGGCAUUUGCCUGAAUGCCCAUAUAGCCAGUCCGCCCCUGCAUCUACAGCACCAAGGUUCGUAGUGAUCCUUAAAAAAAUGAAAAGUCUCAUAAAAUCCUCCAAAAAAUUGCCCUCACCUAAAAUCUAGGCCUACUUGUAGAAGUGGACAGUCCGUAGAUCUAGCUAGUGACAGUGUCUAUAUUUAGAUAUAAGUCUAUAUCUAGUGAAGAUAAUUCGCACCUUACUUGAAAACUCAGUGAAUUUUAGUCAAUUUAAAUGUUCUCGAUACCGGUAUAUGUAAUGUCAUAAUUUACGCUAAAUCACUAGAAAGUUCAUGUAUGUUAGUGACUUAGAUCGAUCUAGUCUAGAUCUACGGUAAAUUGUGCUUGAAAAAAAAUGCUGAUAGGUCUUAUCCCCCCCCCCCUUUUUUUUUUCAAUCCAAAAGCCAUCAUUCAGUACGCGAAUGUCAACUUAACAUACAAAUAGGCCUGUACAUUAUACAGGCUCUGUUGAUGAAGAGGAUUUUUAAUAAAAUAGUAAAACAUUACCGUUACCUCAAAUGCACAUCAUGACCAUAUUUAAGAUACACACAGAGAAACUUUUGUAUAUUUUUAACAUCAGAGAAUAUUAUGAAGGCAUCUCUUAUUUAAAAAUAUGAAAUAGCGACCUAUUUGGGAUAUUUUAAACAAAUCUUUGGAAAAAAAAAAGAUGACAUUGUUCUCUGUUCUGGCUGGGAUGUUGGCUAGAAGUGUAUUAUUUCCACAAUCAAGUAGGCUACCAAUAAUUUAUUUGAGAAAAUGCAUAGUUGUUUUUUGUAUGUUGGCCUAUUACAAUCUUAGUAACAUUUUCACGACAUUAAUUUGUUGUCUAGGCUUUAUCUGCAACUUGGCUAGAUUUUUUUGGGCUGAGGGGGUAGGGGUGUCAUUUUAAAGGCUGCCAACUACAAAUAAACAUUUCUUUUACAAAUCUAACUAUUUAUGUACUGUUGUGCUGAUAGAAAACAUGGUCUUUUUCUUAUUUCGCAGCCUCGGACUCCACAAGUGUUUGUCAACCCUGCUAUAACUGUUUGUAAAAGCAUGUGUGUGUGAAUGUGGGCUUGCUUUAGGUUUCUUCUGAAGCAUGAACUUGAAAAGUUGUUGCAGAAUUAGGUCAAAGGUGUACAAAUGGUAGAUUGGGACACAAUUGGCGAAGUAAAAUACUCAAAAUGCAAUUUUUUAUGUAAUACAUGUAAGAAAAGUGAUUUUUAUAAUGCAAUAGCUUAAUAAAAUAUAUUGAUUUGAUAAAAGUAAAUGAAUAAUU